Molecule: ribosomal RNA, 465 nt
Filed under: uncultured bacterium
Lineage: Bacteria
Description: partial 16S ribosomal RNA
Rfam family: Bacterial small subunit ribosomal RNA
Source: RNAcentral
GACGAACGCUGGCGGCGUGCUUAACACAUGCAAGUCGAACGGAAAGGCCCUGCUUGCAGGGUCCUCGAGUGGCGAACGGGUGAGUAACACGUGGGUGAUCUGCCCUGCACUUCGGGAUAAGCUUGGUAAACUGGGUCUAAUACCGGAUAGGAGCCAUCUUUAGUGUGGUGGUUGGAAAGUUUUUUCGGUGUAGGAUGAGCUCGCGGCCUAUCAGCUUGUUGGUGGGGUAAUGGCCUACCAAGGCGGCGACGGGUAGCCGGCCUGAGAGGGUGUACGGCCACAUUGGGACUGAGAUACGGCCCAGACUCCUACGGGAGGCAGCAGGGGGGAAUAUUGCACAAUGGGCGCAAGCCUGAUGCAGCGACGCCGCGUGGGGGAUGAAGGCCUUCGGGUUGUAAACUCCUUUCGCUAGGGACGAAGCUUUUUGUGACGGUACCUAGAUAAGAAGCACCGGCUAACUACGUG